AACGAACGCUGGCGGCAUGCCUAACACAUGCAAGUCGAACGAUGCUUUCGGGCAUAGUGGCGCACGGGUGCGUAACGCGUGGGAAUCUGCCCUUGGGUUCGGAAUAACAGUGAGAAAUUGCUGCUAAUACCGGAUGAUGUCUUCGGACCAAAGAUUUAUCGCCCAGGGAUGAGCCCGCGUAGGAUUAGCUAGUUGGUGGGGUAAUGGCCUACCAAGGCGACGAUCCUUAGCUGGUCUGAGAGGAUGAUCAGCCACACUGGGACUGAGACACGGCCCAGACUCCUACGGGAGGCAGCAGUGGGGAAUAUUGGACAAUGGGCGCAAGCCUGAUCCAGCAAUGCCGCGUGAGUGAUGAAGGCCUUAGGGUUGUAAAGCUCUUUUACCCGGGAUGAUAAUGACAGUACCGGGAGAAUAAGCUCCGGUUAACUCCGUG
RNAcentral lists this ribosomal RNA (433 nucleotides) under uncultured bacterium. Its description in RNAcentral is "partial 16S ribosomal RNA". It matches the Rfam family "Bacterial small subunit ribosomal RNA", at positions 29 to 507 of the family's 1533-position model. The record is from RNAcentral.